GAACCAGGAGACCAGCGCAAGACGGCGCAGUGUGCUUUCCUGCCCACGGAGCUAAGCAGCUACAGUGGGUCCCUGGGUGGCGUAGGUGGUUUUUGAUUGACUCCUAUCCUAAAAGUUGGUGGUUUGAACCCACCCAGAGGUGCCACAGAAGAAAGAUCUGGUGAUCUGCUUCCUCGUGUCUGCCAUGACCUGUGUGUGCGGUUCACCCACUAUGCUGUUUGCGGAGCCAGCAUGGUGUAUAAGGAGGUGAUGGUGUGAUGGUGAGAAUCAUCUUGUGCCAUGUCACCUUACAAGAGAUAAAAGGAAAGAGAAGCAAGCAGAGAAGGUGGACCUCAUACCACCAAGAAAGCAGUGCCAGGAGCAGAACUCUUCCUUUGGACCCGGGGGCCCUGCACGGAGAAACUCCCAGUCCAGGGUAAAAUUGAUGAGA
This is a long non-coding RNA of Trichechus manatus latirostris (Florida manatee), 430 nucleotides long. RefSeq lists it as uncharacterized. NCBI's taxonomy places the organism in Eukaryota, Metazoa, Chordata, Mammalia, Sirenia, Trichechidae. The record is from RefSeq and is a predicted model, not a curated record. The transcript has 3 exons.